Molecule: long non-coding RNA, 236 nt
Filed under: Lathyrus oleraceus (garden pea)
Lineage: Eukaryota; Viridiplantae; Streptophyta; Magnoliopsida; Fabales; Fabaceae
Description: Pisum sativum (pea) long non-coding RNA (PSAT_LNC031776)
Source: RNAcentral
GAUCUUGUAUUGGUUUAAGUCAUUUGCAUGAUUUAGGAAACAACUUAUCCUUAAUGCAAAGCCAUUCACUUGAUCAAUUGAUCAAGAUGACAUAGAUUUGGAUCAAGGAAGGUUAAGUCUCCCUAAUCAAUGCCAACUUAUCAACCUUCAACUCAUUGAUCAAAAAGAAAAAAAAGAAGAAGAAGAAGGAGAUGAAUAUGAGAAAAGGAAAUGACAAAAUAAAAUGCAUUAAAUGG